AGUGAACGCUGGCGGUAGGCCUAACACAUGCAAGUCGAACGGCAGCACAGUAAGAGCUUGCUCUUACGGGUGGCGAGUGGCGGACGGGUGAGGAAUACAUCGGAAUCUACUUUUUCGUGGGGGAUAACGUAGGGAAACUUACGCUAAUACCGCAUACGACCUACGGGUGAAAGCAGGGGAUCUUCGGACCUUGCGCGAUUGAAUGAGCCGAUGUCGGAUUAGCUAGUUGGCGGGGUAAAGGCCCACCAAGGCGACGAUCCGUAGCUGGUCUGAGAGGAUGGUGAGCCACAAUGGAACUAGAACACGGUCCAGACUCCUACGGGAGGCAGCAGUGGGGAAUAUUGGACAAUGGGCGCAAGCCUGAUCCAGCCAUACCGCGUGGGUGAAGAAGGCCUUCGGGUUGUAAAGCCCUUUUGUUGGGAAAGAAAAGCAGCAGGUUAAUACCCCGCUGUUCUGACGGUACCCAAAGAAUAAGCACCGGCUAACUUCGUG
Molecule: ribosomal RNA, 492 nt
Filed under: uncultured bacterium
Lineage: Bacteria
Description: partial 16S ribosomal RNA
Rfam family: Bacterial small subunit ribosomal RNA
Source: RNAcentral